UCCAGGGUAGCCUAGUGGACAUGGCACCUGCCCGAUAAGCAGAAGGUUGUGGGUUCGAUUCCCGCCCCUGGAC
This 73-nucleotide transfer RNA is filed under the name Cordylochernes scorpioides. Its description in RNAcentral is "tRNA-Ile". It matches the Rfam family "tRNA". From Rfam's summary of the family: Transfer RNA (tRNA) molecules are approximately 80 nucleotides in length. Their secondary structure includes four short double-helical elements and three loops (D, anti-codon, and T loops). Further hydrogen bonds mediate the characteristic L-shaped molecular structure. tRNAs have two regions of fundamental functional importance: the anti-codon, which is responsible for specific mRNA codon recognition, and the 3' end, to which the tRNAs corresponding amino acid is attached (by aminoacyl-tRNA synthetases). tRNAs cope with the degeneracy of the genetic code in two manners: having more than one tRNA (with a specific anti-codon) for a particular amino acid; and 'wobble' base-pairing, i.e. permitting non-standard base-pairing at the 3rd anti-codon position. The record is from RNAcentral. Lineage: Eukaryota; Metazoa; Arthropoda; Arachnida; Pseudoscorpiones; Chernetidae.